Long non-coding RNA from Etheostoma spectabile (orangethroat darter), 118 nucleotides. RefSeq lists it as uncharacterized. NCBI's taxonomy places the organism in Eukaryota, Metazoa, Chordata, Actinopteri, Perciformes, Percidae. The transcript has 3 exons. The record is from RefSeq and is a predicted model, not a curated record.
CACAUGAAACCUGCCAACUGUCCCUUAGACGUUGUCCCCGCCAGAAUGGUGAAGGAGGCUUUUAAUAGCACCAUUGGGGCAAGUCUUCUUACUCUUUUUAAUAUCUGUCGUAGUUUAG